GGGUCUGACAUCUUACCGAUCGAUUGGAUUGGUUUGAGGUGAGUUGGUUGCUGACUUAGAGUUUUAUUUUUGGUUAGUUUUUUCAGGUAAAACUGUAGUGUUUGAUCAUUUGAAAAUUUUGAUUGAUUCUGGAGUCUAGAGUAUUCAAAUGUUUUUCAUUGUUGUUGUUGGAAGUAUCUGGGUUUUCUAAUUUGAUAAGAACUUAUUGAGGUAUUAUUGGGUUUUGAUUUGGGAAGGAAGGAAGGAAUGUACCUCGAUGUAUAAGUUUCAGUUACCUGUAAAGUGUAGAUCUGGUAUGUCUCAAAGUAAAUGUCUCCAAGCAUAA
RNAcentral lists this long non-coding RNA (325 nucleotides) under Rosa chinensis. Its description in RNAcentral is "sRNA RchiOBHm_Chr3g0458931". Lineage: Eukaryota; Viridiplantae; Streptophyta; Magnoliopsida; Rosales; Rosaceae. The record is from RNAcentral.